CUUCAUCUUCUACGCUACACUUCAACCCCUACGUCUUCUCUGCACUGCAAAACUCAGCCAGUUCAUCUUCUCCGCUCUACAAAACUCAACCCCUGCAUAUGAUUUGUUUUUCUAGUUCGCUCGUCGGCUGAUGGUUCAUCAGCCCCUGCAUAUAUUUCACUCGUUGACCACUGGUUCGUGAGAAAAAGAGAAGGAAGGAGGUUGAUCGCUGAAGCAUACCUCCAGCAUUUGGUUCAUCAGAAGUUAAUUCCCAUCCUGCCUUUUUAAAUUGAUCCUAUUUUCAAGCUUUGUCUAUGGACACUUGGCUACAAAGGCAAUUCUGGGAAUUUUUGGGUGUCCAGAGACGUUUUUCGGGUGUGAAUCAAAAGCUAAUCACCCUUAUAUACGUAGGGAUGAAUGCUUUAUUGGGUAUCCACAGAUACACUAUUUAAUGAAUGCUUUAUUGGGUACUAAUAAUUUGGAAUCUGUUAAAUGGUGAAAUGGUUAAGAGUGGUGAUUUGAUGGGGAUGCUGUCCUGAAAUUACCCACAGAGUAUACUUGGAUAUUGAUAUUGAGGGACAGCACUUAGGUACAGCUUCAUGUCAAUACUAUUACAUGAACUACUACAGGCCAAAAGUUAACAAAGAGGAAGCUCACAGCCCAGAUGAUGUUCUAGUGAAAAAGGUGCAAAGAAGAAGGGAUCAAAUUCUGAUUCAGGAAAAGAAGGUGCAAAGAAGAAGGGAUCAAAUUCUGGUGAAAAAGGUUCUAGUGGUAGUCAAAGUAGUGAAGGUGGGCAUGGUAGGCAAGGAGUGAACAUUGAGAAGCAACCAUUGCUGAGGUUCGUAGUGAUGGGAAGGAAAUCCUGUACAAUAAAAAUUAUGUAUUAUUUUUCCUCUAAAAUCUUUUCUAUAUGACCCAAAAUUCUAUGAAGUUUGUAUGAGGUUCUGCAUUAUUAACAUCAUUGUGCAUUCUUCAUCA
Molecule: non-coding RNA, 957 nt
Organism: Prunus avium (sweet cherry)
Lineage: Eukaryota; Viridiplantae; Streptophyta; Magnoliopsida; Rosales; Rosaceae
Source: RefSeq, a predicted model, not a curated record